RNAcentral lists this ribosomal RNA (492 nucleotides) under uncultured bacterium. Its description in RNAcentral is "partial 16S ribosomal RNA". It matches the Rfam family "Bacterial small subunit ribosomal RNA", at positions 29 to 507 of the family's 1533-position model. The record is from RNAcentral.
AGUGAACGCUGGCGGUAGGCCUAACACAUGCAAGUCGAACGGCAGCACAGUAAGAGCUUGCUCUUACGGGUGGCGAGUGGCGGACGGGUGAGGAAUACAUCGGAAUCUACUUUUUCGUGGGGGAUAACGUAGGGAAACUUACGCUAAUACCGCAUACGACCUAUGGGUGAAAGCAGGAGAUCUUCGGACCUUGCGCGAUUGAAUGAGCCGAUGUCGGAUUAGCUAGUUGGCGGGGUAAAGGCCCACCAAGGCGACGAUCCGUAGCUGGUCUGAGAGGAUGAUCAGCCACACUGGAACUGAGACACGGUCCAGACUCCUACGGGAGGCAGCAGUGGGGAAUAUUGGACAAUGGGCGCAAGCCUGAUCCAGCCAUACCGCGUGGGUGAAGAAGGCCUUCGGGUUGUAAAGCCCUUUUGUUGGGAAAGAAAAGCAGCAGGUUAAUACCCCGCUGUUCUGACGGUACCCAAAGAAUAAGCACCGGCUAACUUCGUG